This 492-nucleotide ribosomal RNA is filed under the name uncultured bacterium. RNAcentral describes it as "partial 16S ribosomal RNA". It matches the Rfam family "Bacterial small subunit ribosomal RNA", at positions 29 to 507 of the family's 1533-position model. The record is from RNAcentral.
AGUGAACGCUGGCGGUAGGCCUAACACAUGCAAGUCGAACGGCAGCACAGUAAGAGCUUGCUCUUACGGGUGGCGAGUGGCGGACGGGUGAGGAAUACAUCGGAAUCUACUUUUUCGUGGGGGAUAACGUAGGGAAACUUACGCUAAUACCGCAUACGACCUACGGGUGAAAGCAGGGGAUCUUCGGACCUUGCGCGAUUGAAUGAGCCGAUGUCGUAUUAGCUAGUUGGCGGGGUAAAGGCCCACCAAGGCGACGAUCCGUAGCUGGUCUGAGAGGAUGAUCAGCCACACUGGAACUGAGACACGGUCCAGUCUCCUACGGGAGGCAGCAGUGGGGAAUAUUGGACAAAGGGCGCAAGCCUGAUCCAGCCAUACCGCGUGGGUGAAGAAGGCCUUCGGGUUGUAAAGCCCUUUUGUUGGGAAAGAAAAGCAGCAGGUUAAUACCCCGCUGUUCUGACGGUACCCAAAGAAUAAGCACCGGCUAACUUCGUG